GUCUGUUCCUCCGAUUUCCAUCUCACUGGGAGUCGUAUACCUUUGAUUCCUGGAGAAGCGGCAAGUUGAUGACCCGCCACCACGUCCCUCUGCAACUUGUCGAGGCAAAGCCAUUUGUUUCUGCCACACGCUAACAAAGGUUCAUAGGAUCCUCAUGACUGGACAAAGCACUUGACUGUCAAACUCGGCUGUUUCCCAUCUAAGUCGGAGAGGAGACACAGGGCUGGAGAGAGACUAAUGUUAGAUGGCGUAGUAAAGACAACCUGAAGGACCUGAGAGCCAUCAUUCGCACUCGAGUGGCAGCAAGGUCAUCUGGCUAAGGGAUGGCUCAUCCUUUCCCUGCCUUUGAAUCACUGACGGGGCUGUCAUAAUAGUGAAAAAAAAUGCUGUAGGACCUUUGAAGAAUGAACUUUCCAAACCAAUGGAUUGCUCUGAAGGGCAACGCCAUCCAAGAUCAAACAUAAUCACCAACGGUAAAAUCAGUUGGCCUUUUCUCAGUUCAAGGUUUCUGCUUCAGGAGGUAAAACCGCGUGUAAGUUUUCAAGGAACUGGACUCCAGAAAACUUUUCUGUUCAGAAAAGUUUAAUCAAGCCAUUUUUGGACAGCUUACUAUUAAA
Amphiprion ocellaris (clown anemonefish) is the source of this 617-nucleotide long non-coding RNA. Lineage: Eukaryota; Metazoa; Chordata; Actinopteri; Pomacentridae. The record is from Ensembl.